This is a long non-coding RNA of Medicago truncatula (barrel medic), 1258 nucleotides long. RefSeq lists it as uncharacterized. NCBI's taxonomy places the organism in Eukaryota, Viridiplantae, Streptophyta, Magnoliopsida, Fabales, Fabaceae. The transcript is spliced from 5 exons. The record is from RefSeq and is a predicted model, not a curated record.
CAAUUAUCACAUCAGUGGAGAAAAACACUUGAGGGGAAAAACAAAUUUACACUAUUUUCCUUUUACCUCUCCCGUAAAAACCACACAAUUUCAGAUCUGAGAUUUUCCCUUGAAACACACACUCGCCGCCGAAACCCACUUCUCGUUCAACAAACAACAUCGGUCAAAAACAGGGACAAGGACAACAUUCCUCAAAAACAAGAGUUGGUCUUCAGAGCUCGCAAGCACAUCUCUUCCAUUGCUGAUUGGGAAGAUAGCAAAAAGGUAGCUCUAGAAACUGAUCUAAAAAAAAAUUAAGCUCACAAGCACAUCUCUGCCAUUGCUCAAAAAAAUUAAGGUGGAUGAAAGCUUAUCGGUUAAGUGCUGAGUAUGAUAAUGGAGUGACUGAAUUUCUACAGUUUGCUGAAAAGAAUCUUCCCAACACUGAGGGACUUUUUCCUUGUCCUUGUGUUUCUUGUGGGAACCGGGACCCAAAACUUAGUAAGGAAGAAAUUAAGGGCCAUCUAGUUUCGGUAGGGAUUUGUCAAAAUUAUACCCAAUGAAUAUGGCAUGGUGAAACUAUGAUGACAAGUGUAUCCCUAGACAUCUGAUUGUUGAUAUUAUGUGUUGAGUAUGAUAAUGGAAUGACUGAAUUUCUACAGUUUGCUGAAAAGAAUCUUCCCAACACUGAGGGACUUUUUCCUUGUCCUUGUAUUUCUUGUGGGAACUGGGACCCAAAACUUAGUAAGGAAGAAAUUAGGGGCCAUCUAGUUUCGGUAGGGAUUUGUCAAAAUUAUACCGAAUGGAUAUGGCAUGGUGAAACUAUGAUGACAAGUGUAUCCCUAGACAUCUGAUUGUGGAUAUUAUGUGAUGAAGAACAUGCUAGACAUCGUCUCUGCUAAUAUUACUACCUCUUGGAUGAAGGUAUUCAAUGAUACAACAGCAUUACCAGAAGAUGAGAUGUAUGCUUUGCGAAACGAUUUGGCAACUUAUUUUCUUGAAUUGUAUGAAACUUAGGAUUUACUAAGAUAUGCUUCAAUGUAAUUUAGUACUGUUGGUAUGUUAUUUUUAGCUGGGAGAUCUGUUGGCACUUGGAGAGAGAGCCCCUCCUUUUUUUGUGUUUUGGUACUGCUAGUGACAUAGAAUGACUUGUUUUUUGUUUUUUGUUUUGUGUAUGAACCUUGUUUGUUGUGGUUGUUCCUUCUUGUUAUCUGUUUGCUGGUGACCUAGACUCGUUGAAGGUUUUGUUUAAUUUGAUUCAGAAGUAUGGUUGCAGUUA